ACGGAGGAUCCGAGCGUUAUCCGGAUUUAUUGGGUUUAAAGGGUGCGCAGGCGGGCUAUUAAGUCAGCGGUGAAAUUCCACGGCUCAACCGUGGCGUUGCCGUUGAUACUGAUAGUCUUGAGUAUGUUUGAGGUAGGCGGAAUGUAGUGUGUAGCGGUGAAAUGCAUAGAUAUGCUACAGAACACCAAUUGCGAAGGCAGCUUACCAAAUCAUAACUGACGCUCAUGCGCGAAAGCGUGGGGAGCAAACAG
RNAcentral lists this ribosomal RNA (251 nucleotides) under uncultured bacterium. RNAcentral's name for it is "partial 16S ribosomal RNA". It matches the Rfam family "Bacterial small subunit ribosomal RNA", at positions 525 to 775 of the family's 1533-position model. The record is from RNAcentral.